RNAcentral lists this ribosomal RNA (465 nucleotides) under uncultured bacterium. Its description in RNAcentral is "partial 16S ribosomal RNA". It matches the Rfam family "Bacterial small subunit ribosomal RNA", at positions 28 to 507 of the family's 1533-position model. The record is from RNAcentral.
GACGAACGCUGGCGGCGUGCUUAACACAUGCAAGUCGAACGGAAAGGCCCUGCUUGCAGGGUACUCGAGUGGCGAACGGGUGAGUAACACGUGGGUGAUCUGCCCUGCACUUCGGGUUAAGCCUGGGAAACUGGGUCUAAUACCGGAUAGGAGCCAUUUUUAGUGUGAUGGUUGGAAAGUUUUUUCGGUGUAGGAUGAGCUCGCGGGCUAUCAGCUUGUUGGUGGGGUAAUGGCCUACCAAGGCGGCGGCGGGUAGCCGGCCUGAGAGGGUGGACGGCCACACUGGGACUGAGAUGCGGCCCAGACUCCUACGGGAGGCAGCAGUGGGGAAUAUUGCACGAUGGGCGCAAGCCUGAUGCAGCGACGCCGCGUGGGGGAUGACGGCCUUCGGGUUGUAAACUCCUUUCGCUAGGGACGAAGCUUUUUGUGACGGUACCUAGAUAAGAAGCACCGGCUAACUACGUG